Molecule: ribosomal RNA, 497 nt
Filed under: uncultured bacterium
Lineage: Bacteria
Description: partial 16S ribosomal RNA
Rfam family: Bacterial small subunit ribosomal RNA
Source: RNAcentral
GAUGAACGCUGGCGGCGUGCCUAAUACAUGCAAGUCGAGCGAACGGACGAGAAGCUUGCUUCUCUGAUGUUAGCGGCGGACGGGUGAGUAACACGUGGAUAACCUCCCUAUAAGACUGGGAUAACUUCGGGAAACCGGAGCUAAUACCGGAUAAUAUUUUGAACCGCAUGGUUCAAAAGUGAAAGACGGUCUUGCUGUCACUUAUAGAUGGAUCCGCGCUGCAUUAGCUAGUUGGUAAGGUAACGGCUUACCAAGGCAACGAUGCAUAGCCGACCUGAGAGGGUGAUCGGCCACACUGGAACUGAGACACGGUCCAGACUCCUACGGGAGGCAGCAGUAGGGAAUCUUCCGCAAUGGGCGAAAACCUGACGGAGCAACGCCGCGUGAGUGAUGAAGGUCUUCGGAUCGUAAAACUCUGUUAUUAGGGAAGAACAUAUGUGUAAGUAACUGUGCACAUCUUGACGGUACCUAAUCAGAAAGCCACGGCUAACUACGUG